Ribosomal RNA from Ictidomys tridecemlineatus (thirteen-lined ground squirrel), 105 nucleotides. NCBI's taxonomy places the organism in Eukaryota, Metazoa, Chordata, Mammalia, Rodentia, Sciuridae. The record is from Ensembl.
GUCUAUAUCCAUACCACCCUGGACAAGCCAGAUCUUGUUUGAUCUUGGAACUAAGGUUGGGUCUGGUUAGAACUCAAAUGGGAGAAGAAUUGGUUUAUGUAGUCA